Molecule: transfer RNA, 74 nt
Filed under: Candidatus Zhuqueibacterota bacterium
Lineage: Bacteria; Pseudomonadati
Description: candidate division KSB1 bacterium (microbial mat metagenome) tRNA-His
Rfam family: tRNA
About the family: Transfer RNA (tRNA) molecules are approximately 80 nucleotides in length.
Source: RNAcentral
GUGGGUGUAGCUCAGGUGGCUAGAGCAUCAGAUUGUGGCUCUGAAGGUCGCGGGUUCAAGUCCCGUCACUCACC